UACCAGCACCCCGAGUGGUCGGGACGAUUAUUGGGCCUAAAGCAUCCGUAGCCGGUCCUGCAAGUCUUCCGUUAAAUCCAGCUGCUCAACAGAUGGGCUGCGGGGGGAUACUACAGGGCUAGGAGGCGGGAGAGGCAAGCGGUACUUUAUGGGUAGGGGUAAAAUCCGUUGAUCCAUAGAAGACCACCAGUGGCGAAGGCGGCUUGCCAGAACGCGCUCGACGGUGAGGGGAUGAAAAGCUGGGGGGGAGCAAAACCCGG
RNAcentral lists this ribosomal RNA (260 nucleotides) under uncultured bacterium. RNAcentral's name for it is "partial 16S ribosomal RNA". It matches the Rfam family "Archaeal small subunit ribosomal RNA", at positions 474 to 727 of the family's 1478-position model. The record is from RNAcentral.